Molecule: transfer RNA, 86 nt
Filed under: Sporormia fimetaria CBS 119925
Lineage: Eukaryota; Fungi; Ascomycota; Dothideomycetes; Pleosporales; Sporormiaceae
Description: tRNA-Tyr
Rfam family: tRNA
About the family: Transfer RNA (tRNA) molecules are approximately 80 nucleotides in length. Their secondary structure includes four short double-helical elements and three loops (D, anti-codon, and T loops).
Source: RNAcentral
CUCCGCUUGGUGUAGUUGGUUCAUCACGUUCGACUGUAAUAUCUUCUGCUAUCGAAAGGUCCCUAGUUCGAUUCUGGGAGCGGAGA